CUAAAUUAAGCAAAUUACAAAAUAAAAAAGAAACUCAUGUUAAAAUUACAUUAAUAAAGCAUUUAAAUUUAAAUAAAUAACCAUAAAUCUCAUUAUUUACUUAAACAACUACAUAUUUAUUUUUAAGUUUUAGUUUAUUUUUGAAAAAGUAAAAAAAAAAAUUUGAAUAAAAACAGACUGGAUUUUAUAAAUUCAAAACCAAUCCAAAAAACAAAUAAAGCCCAAAACAAUCAACCUUAGUCCUUAAACAAUACACACAAUAAAAGAAGAAAAAAAUAAAAAAUCAAAACAACAUCCUGUCCCCCACUUUUUCUUUCCAAAAACAUGUAAUAGGCCCAAUUUGCCCGGCCCAUAAUAUAAAAAUCAAAUCAAAAUAAAAAAAUAUAAACCAAAAAAAAGAUUAAUAACAGUCCACAGUCCAAAUACAUGGGCCUAACGUGGCCCAAAUCAAUUAACCUAGCCCAAGCUUAUACCCAACUACACCCGGCCCAAUUACUAUGUGGCCCAAAAACUAAAAGAAAC
This 522-nucleotide long non-coding RNA is filed under the name Gossypium raimondii (Peruvian cotton). RNAcentral describes it as "long non-coding RNA (GRAI_LNC000363)". Lineage: Eukaryota; Viridiplantae; Streptophyta; Magnoliopsida; Malvales; Malvaceae. The record is from RNAcentral.